UAAAUACUCCCGAGAGACCGAUAGCGAACCAGUACCGUGAGGGAAAGGUGAAAAGCACUUCGAACAGAAGAGUGAAAUAGUUCCUGAAACCGUGCGCCUACAAGCGGUCGGAGCUCGUUAAUGAGUGACGGCGUGCCUUUUGCAUAAUGAACCUACGAGUUGCCUUUGCCGGCAAGGUUAAGUGUGACGACACACGUAUCCGAAGCGAAAGCGAGUCUGAACAGGGCGUAUAGUCGGCAGUGGCAGACGCGAAACCAAGUGAUCUACCCUUGGCCAGGUUGAAGGCUGGGUAACACCAGCUGGAGGACCGCACCAAUAAGCGUUGAAAAGCUUCUGGAUGAGCUGAGGGUAGGGGUGAAAGGCUAAUCAAACUUGGAGAUAGCUCGUACUCCCCGAAAUGCAUUUAGGUGCAGCCUUGAGAGUUACUAAUGUGAGGUAGAGCGACUGAUAAGAUGCGAGGGCUUCACCGCCUAUCAAGUCUUGACAAACUCCGAAUGCGCAUCAGUUCUACCGCAGGAGUGAGGGCAUGGGUGCUAAGGUCCGUGCCCGAGAGGAGAAGAAUCCGGACCACCUGCUAAGGUCCCGAAAUGACAGCUAAGUUAAACUAACGAAGUCUGACUGCUAAGACAGCUAGGAUGUUGGCUUGGAAGCAGCCAUUCAUUUAAAGAGUGCGUAACAGCUCACUAGUCGAGGAGUCGGGCGUGGAUAAUAAUCGGGUAUCAAGUUGUCUACCGAAGCAGUGGGAUCAUUUAUAUGAUCGGUAGGGGAGCAUUCCAGUCAGCGUCGAAGGCGUACCGUGAGGUAUUCUGGAGCGUCUGGAAAAGCAAAUGUAGGUAUAAGUAACGAUAAAGGGGGCGGGAAACCCCCUCGCCGAAAGACUAAGGUUUCCUGAUCAACGCUAAUCGGAUCAGGGUCAGUCGGGUCCUAAGGCUCAGCCGAACGGCGAUGCCGAUGGCAGAAACGGUUAAUAUUCCGUUACUACCUUCAGGAGUGACGUGGAGACGCAGUAGUGACAGUGCCGCCAUCUGACGGAAUAGAUGGUUGAAGGGUGUAGGAGUCGAUCAUGGCAGGCAAAUCCACCAUGAGAUCCGAACCUGAUAGUAUGCCGCGUCCUUCGGGACAAGGCAAUAGUGCGCGUAAGCAUGCUGCCGAGAAAAUCCGCUAAACUUAAUCCUGCAGGUACCCGUACCGCAAACGGACACACGUAGUCGGGUUGAAUAUACUAAGGCGCUUGAGUGAUUCACGGUUAAGGAACUAGGCAAACUGACCCUGUAACUUCGGGAUAAAGGGUCCCUACCCUUUUAUGGGAGGGCGCAGAGAAUCGGUCCAGGCAACUGUUUAACAAAAACACAGGGCUGUGCCAAAUCGAAAGAUCCAGUAUACAGCCUGACACCUGCCCGGUGCUGGAAGGUUAAGAGGAGAUGUCAUCGAUAAGAGAAGCGUUGAAUUGAAGCCCCAGUAAACGGCGGCCGUAACUAUAACGGUCCUAAGGUAGCGAAAUUCCUUGUCGGGUAAGUUCCGACCUGCACGAAUGGUGUAAUGAUCUGGACACUGUCUCAACCGUGAGCUCAGUGAAAUUGUAGUAUCGGUGAAGAUGCCGAUUACCCGCGAUGGGACGAAAAGACCCCGUGAACCUUUACUAUAGCUUAUCAUUGAAUCUGGGCACGUGAUGUGUAGGAUAGGUCGGAGGCUUUGAAGCAGGUACGCCAGUAUUUGUGGAGCCGCUGUUGAAAUACGACCCUUUAUUUGUUUGGAUUCUAACCCGUGGAACGGGGACAUUGAUUGGUGGGUAGUUUGACUGGGGUGGUCGCCUCCAAAAGCGUAACGGAGGCUUCUA
RNAcentral lists this ribosomal RNA (1837 nucleotides) under human gut metagenome. RNAcentral's name for it is "bacterial LSU rRNA". It matches the Rfam family "Bacterial large subunit ribosomal RNA", at positions 467 to 2312 of the family's 2925-position model. The record is from RNAcentral.